This 90-nucleotide non-coding RNA is filed under the name Ruminococcaceae bacterium D16. Its description in RNAcentral is "ZMP/ZTP riboswitch aptamer (pfl RNA motif)". It matches the Rfam family "ZMP/ZTP riboswitch aptamer (pfl RNA motif)". From Rfam's summary of the family: Previously known as pfl RNA. ZMP is also known as AICAR. The record is from Rfam by way of RNAcentral. Lineage: Bacteria; Bacillati; Bacillota; Clostridia; Eubacteriales; Oscillospiraceae. RNAcentral also lists the same sequence under 1 other name.
CAUAAGCUAUACAACUGACGGAAGUGGAGUACCACAUGAAGUAUAGCGGACGCGUUCAGCGUCUUAAUGCCGACCGUCUGGGCGCACGGA